Molecule: long non-coding RNA, 2604 nt
Organism: Cryptotermes secundus
Lineage: Eukaryota; Metazoa; Arthropoda; Insecta; Blattodea; Kalotermitidae
Exons: 3
Source: RefSeq, a predicted model, not a curated record
CUGUAUCCAAAGGUACUAACCUGCUUAGGAUUUAUAGAAUGUAAAUAAAUUCAAUUCAAUUCAAAUAUCAUGGAGGAAUUCAAGGGGACAGCAGCAGACCAUGAGCAGGACAUUUAGUUCCAUCAUGCAAGAAAUGUCAAAAUAAGAAAUUGGAAUGUUAAUCACUAUAUCAGCGAUUUCCAGCAUUCUCAAAUUUACAGUCCCAUGAAAGAGCUGUCGCUUUUAUGAGAACGUCUCUCACACUGUACAGUAUAAACAAUAAUUAAAAAAUCUGUUAGUAAACAGCACAACCAAUUAUUUAAAGCAUAAUUUCAUAUAGAAUUACAACUGAUGAGAUAUUCCCAAUGAACAUUCUGGAAUAAUAUGCAUGCAACUAAAAGGAAUUGAAAUGAAAAAAGUUGGUUGCAAAAUGAUAUUAAAUUUGUAAUACAUAUAUUGCUAAACAGUUUACAGAACACAAAUGAAGUCAUGGACCACUGCCAAAGUUAUGUAUGGCCUUGCGCCUUCAAACAUGAAAAAGUCAAAGGGUCAAACUCAACAUUCCUUUAUACAACUUCUAAAAUAACGGCUGACUGAGUUUCAUCAGAUUGGAGUGAUCGAAACAACACAGCAAAAUAGAUUGGGAGGCAGAAUCACUCAUUGCACUGCAGCUGUUUGAUUGCUGUCAGGCAACAUAUCUGUGCAGUUAUGCAACUUGGAUGUACACUGCAUUCUUGCCCACAAACAUCCACUUGCAAUCUAACAUGCCUUAGUAAUGUGUAGACAAUUCUCUUUGUCAAAAUAUGGUAUUUCACCAAAAUAACAUUGUUAUUUUAAAUGUUUCCUGUCAUGAAAAAGUGCUUGUGCAAUUAAUUAACAAUCUUAUAUAUCACUAUAUACUACAGCUUGUUGGGAUCCACUGUGCUGACCAUGCAAUGCCUUCUGUCUGCUAAAGUUGGCACUAACUUCACCGACAAGCGGCGGUCGCUAGGUCGGUAUAGUUUGCUUGCGGGCUACAAGCCACGGAGUCUAUUUUGUAUACCACAGCUUAGUCCUCUGUAGUCUUGAUAUGGAUAUGUCACCAUCCACUGUUCUACACUGCAACGAAGGCUAUUUGCUGGGAAAUGAGGUGCAGGAUAUGCGGGAGAGAGGUGGGAACGCAUGCACAAAGAAGGAAAAAAAAAAAAUGCAUGAAAUCUUUAUCACACGAUUUACAAAUUACAAUUAGACUGCUAUAAUACAGUGAUGUCAGUUUCUUGGGACUAGUUUCAUGGUUUAUUCUCAAUGUUACAAACAGCUUCUGGUAGACAGACCGUGACAGUGAGUUGCAGUUGAAUUAGAAGGUUGUGAGGCAGUUGUCAGCCAGUAAUGACAUGAGCAGUUGAGAGCUAGUGAAGACAGAAGACUUAGAAUGUGCUGUAGUGAGAAGUCUAGUGCGUGAGUUAGCUAGAUCAUUGUAAUUACUUGGAGUGUAGGUCUACAAGUUUUCAGGGAACUGAAUUACCAAUCCAAAAACUUGCAUCCAGUCACUUAAGCUUGACAGUACCAUUACAGAAGGAGCAGAAUGCCAGUCUGCUGUUGUGCAAGUAUGCCAUCAUGUCCUGCAAACAUGUUCCUUCCUGCACUAAUCGUAAAGAAUGCAGAAUUGAUUAUGAGUAGUGAUUGAUUUGGGGGAGAUAUGAUAACAUUGACAUAGAGGGGAAUGAACAGGUUUGAAAAGGAAAAAUUCACAGCUAUAAGGAGAUUUUUUUAAAAGAAGGUAUAUUGGAUAUAUUUAUUGCUGUGUGUUUUAAAUAGAUACAAUGUCUGUUGUUCUUGCAAUAAACACUGGCAGAUAGGAGUGAGACAUCUGCUUCCUAUUCUCUAUCAGCUGUUAGUUCCAAAAGACUGAAAUAGCUGAGAUCUGCGAGGAAAAUAACAUAAAAAAUGUUUUCACUCCCCUUCAAGGUAAUUGUAAUAUUGCCUAUCUCUGUUGUUACAUAUAGUUCAUAUUGCUUUAAGUUCCCAGAAUUCACAAAUGAAGGCUUUGCCUGCACAGUCUUAGUUCCCUGUCCAGUUUUCCUGUAAUGAGUAACGAAAACAGACAUGGCUGAGAUGAUCUUAGUUUCACUUGAUAUUGACAGUAUACUUCUUUUUCAUGCAGGUCCUGUAUGCCCCUAUGUUAGCGGAUGAUUUCUACAUCAAUCGUAUGGACUGGUCAUCACAAAAUUUAUUGGGCGUGGGCUUAGGAAGCUGUGCAUAUAUUUGGUCUGCCCGCAGUGAGCAAGUCACAGUGUUGUGUAAUUUAUCUGAACAUGGCUACCCUGUAAUCUCAGUUGCAUGGAAUGAGCAGGGAAAUUGCUAGCUGUGGGGACAGAUGAUGGUGGCAUGCAAAUCUGGGACACUGCAGCAAAGAAACCCAUUAAAAUGAUGGAAGGCCAGUCAGGACGAGUGGGUGCACUGGCGUGGAAUGGAGAUAUUGUAACAUCAGGGAGUUAUGAUGGGCUUAUCAUGGAAUGCGAUGUGAGAACGAUCAGCCUCGUUUUAGAAAGAAGAUCGAAAUUUCAUGAAAGAGAGCUAUUGCAUGGUCCCCACACCAUCAUGGGCUCUUGGCAACUGGUGGUGGUGGUGGUGGUGGUGGUGGUG